RNAcentral lists this transfer RNA (73 nucleotides) under Thermoplasmata archaeon. RNAcentral describes it as "tRNA-Phe". It matches the Rfam family "tRNA". Rfam says of the family: Transfer RNA (tRNA) molecules are approximately 80 nucleotides in length. Their secondary structure includes four short double-helical elements and three loops (D, anti-codon, and T loops). Further hydrogen bonds mediate the characteristic L-shaped molecular structure. tRNAs have two regions of fundamental functional importance: the anti-codon, which is responsible for specific mRNA codon recognition, and the 3' end, to which the tRNAs corresponding amino acid is attached (by aminoacyl-tRNA synthetases). tRNAs cope with the degeneracy of the genetic code in two manners: having more than one tRNA (with a specific anti-codon) for a particular amino acid; and 'wobble' base-pairing, i.e. permitting non-standard base-pairing at the 3rd anti-codon position. Lineage: Archaea; Methanobacteriati; Thermoplasmatota; Thermoplasmata. RNAcentral also lists the same sequence under 1 other name. The record is from RNAcentral.
GCCGCGGUAGCUCAGAUGGGAGAGCGUGCGGCUGAAGACCGCAAGGUCGAGGGUUCGACCCCCUCCCGCGGCA